This 489-nucleotide ribosomal RNA is filed under the name uncultured bacterium. Its description in RNAcentral is "bacterial SSU rRNA". It matches the Rfam family "Bacterial small subunit ribosomal RNA", at positions 791 to 1289 of the family's 1533-position model. The record is from RNAcentral.
UAGUCCACGCUGUAAACGAUGGAUACUAGGUGUAGGGGAUGUCAAAAUUUUCUGUGCCGAAGCAAACGCGAUAAGUAUCCCGCCUGGGGAGUACGGCCGCAAGGUUAAAACUCAAAGGAAUUGACGGGGCCCGCACAAGCAGCGGAGCGUGUGGUUUAAUUCGAUGAUACGCGAAGAACCUUACCUGGGUUUGACAUGUUGGUAGUAGUGAAGCGAAAGCGGAACGACCCUUCGGGGAGCCAUCACAGGUGCUGCAUGGCUGUCGUCAGCUCGCGUCGUGAGAUGUUGGGUUAAGUCCCGCAACGAGCGCAACCCUUGUCGUUAGUUAUACGUGUCUAACGAGACUGCCGGUUUCAAACCGGAGGAAGGUGGGGAUGACGUCAAGUCAGCAUGGGUCUUUAUAUCCAGGGGCUACACACACGCUACAAUGGUCAGUACAAUAGGGUUGCCACACCGCGAGGGUGGAGCUAAUCCAGAAAGCUGGGCCUC